This 403-nucleotide long non-coding RNA is filed under the name Macaca mulatta (Rhesus monkey). RNAcentral describes it as "lncRNA (ENSMMUG00000045101.2)". The record is from RNAcentral. Lineage: Eukaryota; Metazoa; Chordata; Mammalia; Primates; Cercopithecidae.
AAACAUUUGCCUGGAGAAAAUUCAGGUUGUUAUAGAAACACACAGGAAUAUGUUCAGGCAGACUUGUUCGUGAGAAGAAAAGCACACUUAAACUAGCACAAGCAAAGGCAUAUUUACUAUAAAGAUACAUGUGACAUGGGCAAAGAAUAAGAUUGGCUGAUCCUAUCUGCAUGAUAGGCCAGAGAGGUCCUCAGCUUUCCUUUAGUCCAUAUGUGCUACCUAUAGCCCAGCCACUGUUGUUUAAAGAGGAUGCAUAUGAUACAAAUCAAAAAAUAAUAUACAAUGUAAGAACCUCUGGUUUUACUUUCAUUGAAGAUCAUUUUGGAUUAUGAAUUUCAUGACAUAAAAGCCUGGCAAUGAAAUAUACAUUUGGAAUACUGCAGAAGGGCUUUGCUUCUUUUUU